ACACCUCAACCCUCCAAUGUUUUUGCAUUGCAGGUGUUGGUAGUGAGCGCUGCAGGUCUUUGGACCGGCUCGCUUUAAAAUCAUUAGCUGGAUCCAUUCUGACCUGGUUCUACUCGGCGUAAUAAGUUAUUAUCGUCGAGGACGUCUGGCCUUGUAGGCAGGGCGGCCACAGUAAGGGUGUUUGAACCGCUUCCAACGCGUCUUGCUUUUGUAGCAAACACUUGAAC
This 227-nucleotide unclassified non-coding RNA is filed under the name uncultured Geminibasidium. RNAcentral describes it as "sequence contains ITS2". Lineage: Eukaryota; Fungi; Basidiomycota; Geminibasidiomycetes; Geminibasidiales; Geminibasidiaceae. The record is from RNAcentral.